Molecule: long non-coding RNA, 1596 nt
Filed under: Canis lupus familiaris (dog)
Lineage: Eukaryota; Metazoa; Chordata; Mammalia; Carnivora; Canidae
Description: lncRNA (ENSCAFG00030000183.1)
Source: RNAcentral
AUGUUGUGUGUCCACGUGGAGGGGAAGCACUUUCCUAACCCUGGGUAUGGGGGUGAGGGUCCUUGCGGCCUGGGGGGCGAGGGGCAGGGGAAGCGUAAUCCUCGGCAGACUUCCAGAACCGCGGCCGAGACAGGACUUCUCUGUCCCCAGGGGAUUCCUCUGCGGGGUCCUGGGCUUCUUGCCUCCCUGCCCUGGGGUCUCCAGCCUGCCAGGCAGAGAGGGAGACAGGAAAAGGAGGAAACCCUAGGCAUCAGAAAGCCAUCUAGGCACCAGGUCCGGACAGCUGCUCAGGCCUGGGACAGGGCUGUCUGCAGCCCCGAGGUCCUGGUUCUUCUCUCAUUCCUGUGGGAGACCCCACGGAGCACCCUGCCCGCACCCCUCAGGAAGUCCGUGGGCACUGGGCAGAGAAGCGCAGGGCUGGCAUGCCCCCAGGUAGGAGAUAAAGCGGAGAUGGAGAUGCGGAGCCUCCUGAGAGCGCAGGGCCCUGAGCACUCAGUGGACCCUCAGGGACAGCAGGAGAGGAUCGGGACCCGCAGCGUCACUCAUGUUGGUUUGACAGGGUUGCUUCUUCAUUUGAAGUCCCUGGGGAUGGGGCUUGGCAUGACCUGCUAUUCCUGCAGACCGAGGGAAGGCAGCCUCAGCCCUGCAUCACACGUACCCUUGAAUGUUGCCUUUUCAAAAGACUACAGUGUACGGUACAGAAUACCCAGUUCCUAUCAAAGCAGGAAGGAUGAAAUUCUUUGCAGAUAUAAGUUGAAAGACAACAGUGUCUAUGAAAAAAAACCCUACCGUAUAAGUCAAAACAAUAUAUUUUGCCCAAGACACGAAUUUCAGAAGGAUGGAGAGGUGCUCCAGAGUGAUUACAGCCUGGACAAUGGCAAGACCUAUGAAGGCAACCUCAAGAUCACUGCGAUUUUCUGUGAUGAUCCGUUACAAAAUGUAGACAACCAGCCAGAGACCACGGUGCUCACAGUCGUCACAGCAGAGAUCACAGUAACCACCGCAGAGACCCCGCCGACAACCAUGGACCCCCUGACCACCACACAGUCCACCACGGAGCCCGUGACCACCAUGCGGACCACCUCAGUUGUCAAACAGGAGAGCACGGCGAACACAGACAUCCUUCCACAUCACUUGGGGCCCACAGGCAUCAGACCAAAAACCACACCGAAGGCCAUUGUAACCACAGUGCCCAUGGUUGUCACAGAGGAACGUACCCUUGACAAUUCUGUCGUAUAUGCACUGGUGAUCCUAACCUUGGGUGUGAUCGUUCUGGUACUCUGCUGCUUCUACUGCUGCCUGAGGCCUCGCAAGGAGCUACCAGCAGUGCAGAUAAUACAAAGGGUAAGUCUGCCGUUGGGCCUGAUGGUCAGCGUGCCCGGCACCCACGCCGACCUCUGCCCAGGGGCUCCUGCUGCCUGUGGGACCCUGCGCCCGGGCCCUGCCACCUCCCAGCUACCUGCAGAGAGGGCAGCAGAGGAGGCCUGGGGAGGACUCGAGGACCCUAGCCCUUCCCCAGUCAGCGGCGUGGCUGCUCCAGGGCCUGCACCCCUGAACCCACACUGGAGGUAGUCUGCGGCAGCAGUCACAGUGACC